RNAcentral lists this ribosomal RNA (749 nucleotides) under uncultured Gigasporaceae. Its description in RNAcentral is "SSU rRNA". It matches the Rfam family "Eukaryotic small subunit ribosomal RNA", at positions 339 to 1092 of the family's 1831-position model. Lineage: Eukaryota; Fungi; Glomeromycota; Glomeromycetes; Diversisporales; Gigasporaceae. The record is from RNAcentral.
GCCUACCAUGGUUUUAACGGGUAACGGGGAAUUAGGGUUCGAUUCCGGAGAGGGAGCCUGAGAAACGGCUACCACAUCCAAGGAAGGCAGCAGGCGCGCAAAUUACCCAAUCCCGACACGGGGAGGUAGUGACAAUAAAUAACAAUACAGGGCUCUUACGGGUCUUGUAAUUGGAAUGAGUACAAUUUAAAUCCCUUAACGAGGAACAAUUGGAGGGCAAGUCUGGUGCCAGCAGCCGCGGUAAUUCCAGCUCCAAUAGCGUAUAUUAAAGUUGUUGCAGUUAAAAAGCUCGUAGUUGAAUUUCGGAGUUCUACCGUCGGUCGGGCUACCAAGUCUGUACUGGUGUGUAGAAUUCCUACCUUCUGGGGAACUAUCAUGUUAUUAAUUUAGCGUGGUGGGAAACCAGGACCUUUACCUUGAAAAAAUUAGAGUGUUCAAGCAGGCUUAUGUCUGAAUACAUUAGCAUGGAAUAAUAGAAUAGGACGGUGGUCCUGUUUUGUUGGUUUCUGAAUCACCGUAAUGAUUAAUAGGGAUAGUUGGGGGCAUUAGUAUUCAAUUGUCAGAGGUGAAAUUCUUGGAUUUAUUGAAGACUAACUUCUGCGAAAGCAUUUGCCAAGGAUGUUUUCAUUAAUCAAGAACGAAAGUUAGGGGAUCGAAGACGAUCAGAUACCGUCGUAGUCUUAACCAUAAACUAUGCCGACUAGGGAUCGGACGAUGUUAAAUUUUAUUGACUCGUUCGGCGCCUUACG